CCUGUGAGCCAGCACUACUUUUCUCUCAACCAUCUUCCAUCCAAGCAAGCAGCUCUUCCCUGCCAGUGCUGCUGCUUGGAGAACCAGAAAUCCUGUGCUGUCCUUUGCAUGUUGAUAAACAAAGCAGUGGCUUCUUCCCCCGGGGAAUGAAAGGGGAAGGUCUUGG
Molecule: long non-coding RNA, 166 nt
Organism: Neopelma chrysocephalum (saffron-crested tyrant-manakin)
Lineage: Eukaryota; Metazoa; Chordata; Aves; Passeriformes; Pipridae
Exons: 3
Source: RefSeq, a predicted model, not a curated record